AUUUAGUGCCAAGUUGACUCACACGUCAGCGCUGGGACCUGUACGGGUGCGUGGACGUGUGCGUCAGGCGGUUCCCGGAUGUACUGAAACAGAAACAUGGAACUGGUUAUGGUAGAAGUGCCGACCAAUCACGUUGAGAGAUACACAACCAACUCUACGUCUAACACGCAAAUGCAGCCACUUGGUUAUUCCAUUGCCUGCCCUUCCACAAUUCAACGAAAGCGUCAGGUGCGUUUCUCAGCACGCCAUGACAUCAUCCUUCUGAAGGAGGUUAUUGUUCAAAACCCGUUUGCCUCCAAAGAGCCAGGACGGAUGUGGGCCCGCGUAGGAGAGAAUAUCACAGCUGCUCUGCAAGAAGAAAACUUUGAAGUAGAUGCCAGGAGGUGCAGAGAGAGGACCAUGUUGCUGUUGGACUAUUACAAGAAGCAGGAUUAUUCCAGUCUGCGAAGGUUUGGAACAGAGAGGUUAUAUGCCCAAAAAGAAGAUCUGCUACAUGAGGUUCUGGAGCUGGAGGCUGAGAAAGGGCUGUUGGCCUGCAGUGAAGGGACCAAGUACCACGAUGAUGAAAAAAGAAACAGAAGCAUUGAAGAACUCCUCCUACCAGAACAGGAUAAACCCAUCAUUUCUAUCACACAAAUACCUGCUGCAGAGCCAGAAAGGGAUGGAGAGGAAAUGGCUGCGCCCACAGCGAAGCAGCCGUGUCAGUGUUGCUGCCAAACCUACUCUGAGAUCCUCAGCUUUCUAGAGAAACGUGCAGAGGCAGAGCAACGACUGCGAGAAGAGGAGCUUUCACUGCGCAGAGAAGAACUGGAAAUCCAGAGGAGUAAAAUUGUUCUGGAGAGAGAACAUCUUGGUGCAGAGAGAAAAGAGAGGGAGCGGAGAUUUGAGCUUGAAAGCCAAGAGAGGCAGGUUAUACUGGACUUGUUAAAAGAGAAGGUGCUUAAAAGCUAAGAAAAACAUCGCAUCUGGAUUCCAUGCAGGUGUUCUCCCUCUCUGAGUGUGUAUGGGCCAACAAGUGCAAAAAAAGGAUCUUUCAAAAAGAGAAGAAGAGAACAAUACAGGAAGUGAAAAGAUCUCAGCGUUUAAGGACUUUCCUUUGAUGGAGAACAAAAUGUUUCAUAGACAUUGUUGAAUGGUGGCGCUACAGGCUUGGCCCAGAAUAAUCUCUAGAUCUUAAAGUGCCCAGCUUUCACACUUUGUGAGAAUGUUUUGUGUCAUAGGCCAUAUAUAGUUGAGCAUUACAGGUGCUACAUUAUAUUUAAUGAAUAGAUUUAUGGAUUGCACAGUUUCCCUGCAGAAGGAAGAUUUUAGACAGUUAGUCCUGAUUUAUCCUACUGUACCAUGUUAGUUGUAGAUGGGGAACAACUGAAACUCAGUAAACAUUUCUGUCAGAACCACAACAUCCACACACAAAAAAAGAAAAUGUGUUUAUCCUGCUGUAUUUUAUUAUGUAAUACUUAGAAUUUCCUGUAAAAUUAAGCUGAUUAGUGCCUAUAUUCAGUAUUACCAACAUAAUGAGUCAACUGUGCUAUGCAUCAAAUAAUAUGUCCUUCCAUUUACCUGGGUCUACUGGUGCUUUUCUCCAGCUAUAAAUGAGCACUAGGUGGGUACACCGUGGACAGGGCACCAGUCCUUUAAAUUAUUAUUUAUUACUUAAUAUAUGUACCUGAUGAGUAAAGUAGCAACACAUUUUUAAUAAAUGCUUUAUGCUAAGAGGAAUUAUCUUGCUA
This 1730-nucleotide long non-coding RNA is filed under the name Gouania willdenowi (blunt-snouted clingfish). RNAcentral's name for it is "lncRNA (ENSGWIG00000004053.1)". Lineage: Eukaryota; Metazoa; Chordata; Actinopteri; Blenniiformes; Gobiesocidae. The record is from RNAcentral.